CAAAGACACAGCUUGACUCUGGGAUUUAGCAACACUCAUACAUGAAAUAUAUGCAGACUGAAUUGGAUGGAGUGAAGUAUGCUUCCAGCCACCUGUCUCCUGGCAGAAACAGGUGUGCUGUGCAGGUAAUGUUCUCAGUGUAAAGAAGCACUGACCAAAGAAAGGCCAUGAGAGAAAUAUGCUUACAACAGAGAAGCUAAAACAAUGACAGCUUGGCCAUUAGCAAAGCUCUAUGCCUUGAUCAGGUUGAAAAUAUGCUGGCACAGCCAGCAUCAGCUCCAGCCAAGUCAUGGAUGUGCAGAGGGGCCCAGCAGUAUGGAAUGCAAAGCAACUCCACAAAGUAAGUUCAAAGUGAUUUCAAAACUUCCCAGAAGUGGUGCCAUAAUUUCUGGGCAGUGGCUCAGGUAUGAAAGUUCUUAUUUCAAAUGAAUCUGUCCAGUAAUUCCUG
This 448-nucleotide long non-coding RNA is filed under the name Vulpes vulpes (red fox). RNAcentral's name for it is "lncRNA (ENSVVUG00000027385.1)". The record is from RNAcentral. Lineage: Eukaryota; Metazoa; Chordata; Mammalia; Carnivora; Canidae.